RNAcentral lists this ribosomal RNA (367 nucleotides) under Lepidoblepharis sp. AB-2015. RNAcentral describes it as "partial 16S ribosomal RNA". It matches the Rfam family "Bacterial large subunit ribosomal RNA", at positions 2029 to 2601 of the family's 2925-position model. The record is from RNAcentral. Lineage: Eukaryota; Metazoa; Chordata; Lepidosauria; Squamata; Sphaerodactylidae.
UACAUCAAUGAACCUAAUCUCCCAGUACAAAAGCUGGAAUAUCACCAUAAGACGAGAAGACCCUGUGGAGCUUAAAAUCCCCUGGCAACCCGCCCAUCCCAGACAUUUUUAGUUGGGGCGACUACGGAACAAAACAAAAACUUCCACGCUACGAGCCACACACCCCACAAAGGCCCCACGCCACUGUGUCCCCCGACCCGACCCAGUCAUACUGAUCAACGAACCAAGUUACCCCAGGGAUAACAGCGCCAUCCUCUUCAAGAGCCCCUAUCGCCAAGAGGGUUUACAACCUCGAUGUUGGAUCAGGACCCCCAAGUGGUGUAGCCGCUACAAAUGGUUCGUUUGUUCAACGAUUAAUGUCCUACGU